UGAGUUCUCGCGUCUCACUCUCUUUAGUGAAGUGGAGACAAACACUCUCUUGACGUCAAGACAGCCUGGAGAUAUUAAAGUCUGCUCUGCCACUUGUGUGUUAGAGAGCGAAAGCAGAGACCCGGCGAGGAGGAUUACAGUGCAGCUGCCCGCUCUCUUCGAACUUUGAUGGACUCCGGAUCCUAGAGGAGCGAGGAUUCACCGCUGGAAGAAUGAGGAGUCAGGCGAUGUCUUUGCUAUUGGUCCUCAGUUUUUACAGCAUGUGUUCAACGUCUUCAGUGCAAACGGAAAUAAUACCAUCAGAAGGCAAACUUCUGGAUCAUCUUUACAGCUUAAAGCGAGGCAGUCAUCUAAUAAAUCAAUCGCAUCAGCUUGACUGUUGAAUUUUAAAACACUGACUACUGAGUUGUUUCAGGACAACCAAGAUUAUGGUGACUAUGAAGAUUCAAAAUAUGAGAAAGAGAAACAAAUGAAACGAAGAUACCCAUACAUUUUGAAAAGACAAGCACGUGUUGGAAAAACUCGUCGACCUUAUGUACUGAAACGAAAUUCUGUUUUCUUUAUGAAUUAAAAUCUUAUCUUACGUCUGACUUUUCAAGUAAACAUGGAUUAGCAUGUAUAUCAUAUAUUUAAUGAAUUUAAUCUAUUUAUGCAGAGACAAUUGAAAAUCCAGAAAAAAUAUAUAUAUUUGGCUUAUAGCUUAGUUUCUUCUGUGUUUCAAAAUAAUUUACUGUAUGUUUCAAUGGUGUGUGUUGUCCAAACCUGUUUUCAGUUUGAGAGGUUGCUAGAACUUUCCAUGUUUUGCUUCUUAGCAAGAAUUGUGCAUUCUUGAUCUGGAGGUUUUUUCUAUCAAUGUGUAAAAACAUGCAGGACACAGAGAGGGUGAAGGCGUACUUUUCUCAACAUGAAUUUACAGCAUCACGUGGUUGGAUAUUGAUGAAUUUAAUGUAAUCUUAUUGACUCAGUAAUGUACAGGGCAAAUAAACCCUGAGUAGAUUGCAUGAUCAUAGAUACGAAUGUCUGAGAUGAAUGUUCAAACACUCUGCAUGAAAUCACUCUCAGUUUAUGGACAGUAUCUUUUGUGCUUUUCUUACUCUUUUCAAAUAUUUGCUAACAUCAAACUGUACACAAUAAUUUCACUAAAAUCUAUGUCAUAUACUUGAUAUUAAAUGUCAAAUAAACUACAAUUGAA
RNA transcript from Hypanus sabinus (Atlantic stingray), 1192 nucleotides. It is a transcript of the gene named neurotensin, with no coding region annotated. The record is from RefSeq and is a predicted model, not a curated record. The transcript is spliced from 4 exons. NCBI's taxonomy places the organism in Eukaryota, Metazoa, Chordata, Chondrichthyes, Myliobatiformes, Dasyatidae.